RNAcentral lists this ribosomal RNA (740 nucleotides) under uncultured Hyphomicrobiales bacterium. Its description in RNAcentral is "bacterial SSU rRNA". It matches the Rfam family "Bacterial small subunit ribosomal RNA", at positions 8 to 796 of the family's 1533-position model. The record is from RNAcentral. Lineage: Bacteria; Pseudomonadati; Pseudomonadota; Alphaproteobacteria; Hyphomicrobiales.
AGAGUUUGAUCCUGGCUCAGAACGAACGCUGGCGGCAGGCUUAACACAUGCAAGUCGAACGCACCUUCGGGUGAGUGGCAGACGGGUGAGUAACGCGUGGGAACGUGCCCUUCAGUUCGGAAUAACCCAGGGAAACUUGGGCUAAUACCGGAUACGUGCGAGAGCAGAAAGAUUUAUCGCUGAAGGAUCGGCCCGCGUCUGAUUAGCUAGUUGGUGGGGUAAUGGCCCACCAAGGCGACGAUCAGUAGCUGGUCUGAGAGGAUGAUCAGCCACAUUGGGACUGAGACACGGCCCAAACUCCUACGGGAGGCAGCAGUGGGGAAUAUUGGACAAUGGGCGCAAGCCUGAUCCAGCCAUGCCGCGUGAGUGAUGAAGGCCUUAGGGUUGUAAAGCUCUUUCGGCGGGGACGAUAAUGACGGUACCCGCAGAAGAAGCCCCGGCUAACUUCGUGCCAGCAGCCGCGGUAAUACGAAGGGGGCUAGCGUUGUUCGGAAUCACUGGGCGUAAAGGGCGCGUAGGCGGCUUGAUAAGUCGGGGGUGAAAGCCUGUGGCUCAACCACAGAAUUGCCUUCGAUACUGUCUGGCUUGAGACCGGAAGAGGUAAGUGGAACUGCGAGUGUAGAGGUGAAAUUCGUAGAUAUUCGCAAGAACACCAGUGGCGAAGGCGGCUUACUGGUCCGGUUCUGACGCUGAGGCGCGAAAGCGUGGGGAGCAAACAGGAUUAGAUACCCCAGUAGUCC